CCAUAUGAUGAAUAUCAAGAUAGGGACAACUGAUGCUUUUGCAAAUGAGGUUGACUUGGAGACUAUUUUAGUAGAUGUGUCUCUUAUCUGAAA
Molecule: small nucleolar RNA, 93 nt
Filed under: Paraphaeosphaeria sporulosa
Lineage: Eukaryota; Fungi; Ascomycota; Dothideomycetes; Pleosporales; Didymosphaeriaceae
Description: A. fumigatus snoRNA Afu_335
Rfam family: A. fumigatus snoRNA Afu_335
Source: Rfam by way of RNAcentral